Bombus pascuorum is the source of this 2010-nucleotide long non-coding RNA. RefSeq lists it as uncharacterized. NCBI's taxonomy places the organism in Eukaryota, Metazoa, Arthropoda, Insecta, Hymenoptera, Apidae. The transcript is spliced from 3 exons. The record is from RefSeq and is a predicted model, not a curated record.
UAUCUUCACAUUACCAACAGUACCUGAUCUAAAGAGAACCUGUUCUUACCUUAGCCACUCAGUCAUUUAAGUUAGCCUAGCAAAAAGGUAAUAGAGGAAAAAGAAAAAAUGGAGGAAACAGAGGAUCCAGUGAGAGGAGCUUCGCGACCCCUCUACUCGUUGGCACUUACUGGUGCCCUGAAGUUGUCCCACUGACAGCCACGUGCCGAAGCGUGCCGAUCUUUUGUCACAAGUUCGGUCUCUUCUUCGACCCAACAAGGGGGAGGAUCGUCGAGAUUCAACGUGCUAGGACACGUGUACCAAAUAGGCUUGGUGGCCCAAAGCCUGUUUGCUUCGACCAAGGACCACCGUAGUGACGGUCUAGGACACAAUGAAGCGUGCGGUUCUUGAGCUGCCCUUCAUUGGAAGGAUCAAAGUUCUCCGCAUGAAACCAUCAUCGAGGUGUAUAUUAAAACAGAAACUUAAAACAGAAACACGAGAAAUUGACUAUGACUCCACAGUAUUGAAGCUCUGUCGUUGCUUUUUCACCUCUGGGAAUUCACCAAUCCGUGCGAUGGUUCGCACGCGUUGAAGCUGUCGAGCGGAAACGUCGAUUUCUCAGCACCGGUUAUCGGCGUUCACCUUCGGCGAUGGAGGGCCUUUGAUUGGCACGAAAGGUAUCCGUUCGUCGCGACAGAGUGUUGCGGAAAAAGGAAGAACUCCGGUUUCGGUGUCAGUGAAGACAGAAUGUGAAAGACGGCGUCAAGACGAAACGAAUACAGGGAACAGAGACAGAGUUAGUUCGAUUCAAUUUAACUAGAGUGCGUGUAGGUAAAAAAGAGGAAACGAAUGACAUGAAUUUCAUUCUGUGAGUGUUGAAUAGAUGAUUGUUUGAUACGUCUUUAUUGAGAAUUUCUCGAUCAUUUUAAAGAACUUUUUGUGACGUAGAAAGUAAAGAUGAUGUAUAAAAAAACAGAAGAUUGUAGUGGUACUAUGAUCGUCAUGGAAAAUUGGCCGUGCAAAUGCUGCUUAACGCUGUCGAUAUAAACAUACACGUCGGAAUUAAUGAUACACCGUUUAGUUACGCGUCAGUUGAUUUUCCCAGAGCACCGCUUUUGUGCUUAAUAGCAGACGGGGGAAGCGGCUCAUGGGGCACUGUGACCCGCCCGCUUCGCUGCACUCUUCAAUAUGUCACUGUGGCUAAUUUUAGGGGCACACCGUCGACCACCGCAACGGCGACAAAGUCGAUUCCUUUCAGUGAAUUUACCUCCUGUAACCGAUUUUCAACCGAUUUGUUUGCUUCAUUGAAACUCUUGAGAAUUUUACCUUCAUUUUGAUUGAACACCAAAUUUGAUGUAUUUCUUGGAGCGAUGUUGAAAUUCGAGAUUUGGAGAUUGAUGUGUUUGGUUGUUAGGAGAACUUAUUUGGAUGUUGUUCUAAUAUAGAUUGCACGGUCUUGUUCGUAGUUACGGUAUUAUAGUGAGUUCUAUUAUCAUUGUGCAGUUUCAUUGAUUUGAAAUUGAUUUAAUGAAAAUGACGAUGAAAUUAAAAAAUUAUAAUAUUGUAAGAAUGUUUGUAACAGUAUUUUAAUAUUAUCGUAGAUAAUAUUCUAUAUUAAUAAACUAAUAAAAUUUUUAACAUACAAACUUAAUUGAAUAUAUAGUACACAAAAUUAAUUUACGACUUUGUGUGUUAUUUUCUAUAUUAGAUGUUAAUAUAAAGUAAUAUAUACUUGAAAUUUUAACUGUUCAAAUAAUUUGCUAUAAACUUUCUUUAAAAUUAUUUUUCAUAAUACGACGUGAAAUUUUGUCACUAAAAAAUGAAAAUUGCAAAAUUACAAAAGCCUGAAUUAUGCUUGAAGGUUCGACUCGCAAUCACAUCAAAAACAAUCAUCUUCAUGAUGACGAUGGAUUAUCAAAUAACGAUGAAAUACGUCCGGAUGUAAACGAGUCAAUAUGUUACAUAAUUGUCAGACCAGUUAAUUACCUCACUCCAGCCUGUAUCGUUGCGAUCUUGUUCCCUGGCGAGAUA